AGAGUUUGAUCAUGGCUCAGAACGAACGCUGGCGGCGCGCUUAAUACAUGCAAGUCGAACGGGAACCAACUUCUUCGGAGGUUGAAUUCUAGUGGCGAACGGGUGAGUAACACGUGGGUAACCUGCCCUCGAGUGGGGAAUAACACUCCUAACGGAGUGCUAAUACCGCAUAAUACAGACAGUCGCAAGAUUGUCUUUCAAAGGUGGCCUCUCCUUGGAAGCUAUCGCUUGUGGAUGGACCCGCGUCCCAUUAGCUUGUUGGUAGGGUAACGGCCUACCAAGGCAACGAUGGGUAGCCGGCCUGAGAGGGUGACCGGCCACACUGGGACUGAGAUACGGCCCAGACUCCUACGGGAGGCAGCAGUAGGGAAUAUUGCGCAAUGGGCGUAAGCCUGACGCAGCGACGCCGCGUGAGCGAUGAAGGCCUUCGGGUCGUAAAGCUCAAUCCAGAUGGGAAGAAAUACAGAAAGGUUAAGAGCUCUUCUGUUUGACUGUACCAUCAGGGAAGCUCCGGCUAAUUCCGUGCCAGCAGCCGCGGUAAUACGGAGGGAGCAAGCGUUGUUCGGAAUUACUGGGCGUAAAGGGCGCGUAGGCGGAUCGAUAAGUCAGAUGUGAAAUCCAUCGGCUUAACCGGUUGAACUGCAUUUGAAACUGUCGGUCUUGAGAACAGGAGAGGGGAGUGGAAUUCCAGGUGUAGCGGUGAAAUGUGUAGAUAUCUGGAAGAACACCAGUGGCGAAGGCGGCUCCCUGGCCUGAUUCUGACGCUAAGGCGCGAAAGCUA
RNAcentral lists this ribosomal RNA (781 nucleotides) under uncultured bacterium. RNAcentral's name for it is "bacterial SSU rRNA". It matches the Rfam family "Bacterial small subunit ribosomal RNA", at positions 8 to 762 of the family's 1533-position model. The record is from RNAcentral.